This is a long non-coding RNA of Thalassophryne amazonica, 371 nucleotides long. RefSeq lists it as uncharacterized. The record is from RefSeq and is a predicted model, not a curated record. The transcript is spliced from 3 exons. NCBI's taxonomy places the organism in Eukaryota, Metazoa, Chordata, Actinopteri, Batrachoidiformes, Batrachoididae.
CUGAAGGAGUCUGUGAGUCAGAACGAUGAUCUGAAAGCCCUCAGCAACCAGCUGGAACUGAAAACCAGCAGCUACACCCUGCAGGUCCAAAAGCUCCAGGAGUCUCUGGAUGAUGCUCACAAACAGAUGCUGAAGGCCAGAAGUGAUGCUGAGGAACAAGAUCGCUCAGCUGCAGCCACCAUCUGUCAACUGCGGCGUGAAGUGACCAGUGCGAUGGAGAAAAUGAUCAAGAUGGAGGAGGAUGUAGCCCUACUGGAGACACUGAAGGAUCGCUGCAGUUGAGUCAGACUCUCCAGAGCUACAUCACUCACAUUGUGAAGAUCCGGUCAGGGACACACCAGGAGCUGGACGCUCUCCCAGCAUGCACUGGG